GGAGUUGAUUAAACAAUCGCUGCUUCUAUAUUUACAAUUAUUUGAUAUUAUUAACAAGUAAUGUUUUGUGAAUAGAAUAAGGAGAGGAAAGUCCGGGCUCCAUAGGACAGAGUGCCAGGUAAUACCUGGGAGAUGUGAAUCUACGACCAGUGCAACAGAAAGAACACCGCCUGUGAUUAAUAUUAUCAAUUCUAUAUAUAGAAUAUAUGUGUAGGAAAAAUAUGUGUUUAUUACACGGUAAGGGUGAAAAGGUGUGGUAAGAGCACACCGCACGAAUUGGUAACAGUUCGUGUCAUGUAAACUCCACUCGGAGCAAGGCUAAAUAUAAGUUCUAUAGUAUGUCCGUACUGAACUUGGGUAAGCUGCUAAAACUAAUAUGCAAAUAUUAGUUUAGAUGAAUGAUUGUUCGAGACAGAACCCGGCUUAACGAUCGACUCCUUAU
This 442-nucleotide RNase P RNA is filed under the name Candidatus Blochmannia ocreatus (nom. nud.). RNAcentral describes it as "Candidatus Blochmannia ocreatus RNase P RNA component class A". It matches the Rfam family "Bacterial RNase P class A". Rfam says of the family: Ribonuclease P (RNase P) is a ubiquitous endoribonuclease, found in archaea, bacteria and eukarya as well as chloroplasts and mitochondria. Its best characterised activity is the generation of mature 5'-ends of tRNAs by cleaving the 5'-leader elements of precursor-tRNAs. Cellular RNase Ps are ribonucleoproteins. Lineage: Bacteria; Pseudomonadati; Pseudomonadota; Gammaproteobacteria; Enterobacterales; Enterobacteriaceae. The record is from RNAcentral.